Molecule: non-coding RNA, 12340 nt
Organism: Xyrichtys novacula (pearly razorfish)
Lineage: Eukaryota; Metazoa; Chordata; Actinopteri; Labriformes; Labridae
Source: the annotation of a GenBank genome assembly
GGAGAGCUGAGGCACAAAGACAUACAGGUAAAAUCUCACGAUGGGUUGCACCUGUGUCACAGUAUUUCUCUUGUUGACAGUCAGCAGCCAAAGGAUGAAUAAUUUAACAAUAUCAGGAGCUGAUCUUUAUCUAAUUGAUACUGGUUUGGUAUGUUUACCUCUUUGUUUCAUGUUUUUAAGGGGAAUAAAGACCAAAUUGACUGAUGAAAUGGAAAGAACAGGUAAAAGGCCGAGGAGACGAGGAGAAAACUAACACUGUCCGAGAUACAGAUAGGAGUUAGAGAGAACUAAUUACCAUCAGGGGAGCCCUGGGUCUAAAAGCUUAUGACUUCCCACUGAGCAUUUUUUGCUCUAAGAGAGGUCUAAUAGACAUCAAAAUGUAGCCUAGAUGACUGGUCUAAAAUCAGGCAACCACAGGUCUAAAAAUGAACGUUUUUUAGAUGUCUAAAUUUAGACCACGUUUAGACUAGCCGGCCAACAGAGAUCUAACUUUAUAUUCCUCAACCGCUAUCAUAAUUAUUUUGGUGAAGUACUUGGAGAUCAGUGAAUGCAGAUAAAUACUUCAGAUAAUUAGAAAUGGGGCCCAGUCAACGUGAAAGUAAAAAGCGUUGGUGCUACUGUAGAUGCCAACAGACUACCAGCAAACACAAUGUUUGCAGGACUUCUACAACUAGGAUAAAGUGACAUAGUCCAGGACCCGAGGGAAACAGGUUAGCAGCGCUACAACACACAGCAGGUCCCGUUUGACCAGAAACACUUCUGUUACAGACAAUUGGAUACUUUGUUGAAGCAGUUUACCUGGAACAGGGUCCAUAAGAUCCCGAAGCGUCCCCCAUCAUUGUUGACCCAGCUUUUUAGCUCUUGUCCAGGUGGUCUACCUCCUUUUUAGGCGCCCAUUAUUCCACCAGAGUCUCCGGUAUUUAGUUCAUUUUCUUGCUUGUGUUGGUGGUCGUGGCUAAAGGAGGAUUCAGAUAUUUUUCUGUAUUUUCUGGUUGUUUUUUUUCUGUCUGAUAUUGUUGCACGCUAACUUUGUUUGGGCUCCUGAACAACAUGGGGGAGCAGCGUCUGCCUCACAACCAAUCAGGAUGGUGGAGGCGGAGAAUGGCUUUGUUUACAGUCAGAAAGAGCAGAGCGCUCUGAAAUUUUAAUAUGUUGACUACACAGACAUAAGAAAACACAGCGAUAUCGUUAUAUUAUCAAAUGUCAUCAAUGACUAAUAGCUAUUGACUGAUAUUUAAAGCUUUUUUGUAUAAACACCACAAAAAAAGAUGCUUCUUUAACGGAAGUGCAACGUCUAAAUUCCGUCUAAAAAUAUACAGAGUCUGGACGGUUGAAAUUAGGUCUAAAAAAAACCCAACUAAACAUCUAAUAGCCGUCUAUUGCUCAGUGGGUUAUUUCAUUUUUCCGGGAAACGAUGGUUUUCAUAAACAAUCAGGACAAACGCGCAACAGACGAAAAAAUUAUCUGUUUGUCUUAUUGAUUUUAAAUCAUUUGAUGUAUUUUUGAUUUUAAAUUGUUUGAAUCCCUCUUUUUGAAAAAUUUUCAUUGUAUUUCCUUGCAUCUCUAAAGCACUUAGAAUUGCCUUGUGUUUGAAUGGUGCUAUACAAAUAAAUCAGCCUUGCCUUUGCCUAAAUGCUGAUUCAGACAACGAGGUUUGAAUUGAUGAGGAGUCAUAAAAGAUUAGUUUGAUGUUGACUCAGUUAUUAUUUCAAACACAGAGAUCAGUAUCAGCCUUGAUUUUCAUAACUGGCGCUUUUAGGAAUUUAAUUGUCACUCUCAUUUUACUGGAUUUAGAUUUGAUCUGUACCUGAGCUCAUUAUGUGCUUAGAUUGAUUUGACUGUGAUCAUAUUUUUGUCUAUCAGUUAACUUGACAAAAGUUUCAACCUGAUACAGAGGGAGUAAACGGAGGUAGGAGAUGUAUGAGGGAAAAUCUUUCUCAAUUCUCCAUUAUUUGGCUCUAUACAAACUGCUUUCUUGCCCUUUUAGAGGCUUUCUACACCUACUUAUUUCUUGAGAUGAGAGUGCCGGUGAGGGCGGACUUAAUCAAGGUUUGUGACAGUUUUAGCUCCUACCUGUGUGCUCUUAAAAGGCAAUGAUUUCCCCUGCCAGAGUGUUAUUCAGGGUUGUUUAUGGUUUCUCUAUUCAGCUGAGGAAUGCUCCUCAUCUGUCUCAAAAACACAUUCAUGCAUCUCAAGCAACUUUAUGAGAUGUGACUGAAAUAAAAUAUUGUAGCUCAGAAGAAAGGAGAGGUUUUUUUUCUCAAAGACACCAACCUGUGAUAUUCCAUUUUCUGUCUUCUUAACAACACUUUGGGAAUGCUUACCAUCUACUGCCCUGCUUUACAUGAUAAAAUCUGUAUUUUGAAUCUCUUUAAGCACAGCAGCGGUAGAUUACAGCGCUCAGUCUUUCAGGGAGCAUUUCAGGUGAAAACGUGAUAAUCAGCUGCAUGUUUUGAGAGCAAAGACAAAGUUUCAAAGAGUCUGAAAAAACGUUUCUAGCCUUGAAAUUUCAGCCUCUCUCUAGUUUUUGAAUUUGGACGAUAUUUUUGAAACCAGGCUGUAAAUGGACAUUGCUGUCUUUAUUAAAAAAUGAGCAGGAUAUUAAUUUUGUAGAGCAAAAUACUUGACUUCCCUGUGUCAGUCGAAGAAUUGAUUGUUGUGGGUGAACAAAACGCUGUCUCUGUAUAGGAAAUUGGGCUGCCUCAAUAAACUCGAAUAGAUGGUAAUUGUUUUUUUCCAAACAUUAAUAUAUUGAUACUAUCAGAGAGGACAGACAGAAAAGAGUUCGUGAAAAAACCUUUUUAAGUUGCUAAUUAAUUGAAAAUCACGACUUUCUGUCUCUUCUUUUUCCUUUUUUACUUAAGUUCAGCAACCUACUGUCUACCAGAAGCAGUAUACUUCAAAAUAAAAGCACAGUCGGACCAUGCAGGAAGUAAAGAAACCUAGUUAACAUGAAUAUUUAAAUUAUUAUAGAUAAAUAUGUUUAUAUUUGUCCAAUGGAUGGGCCCCCAUAACUUGUUCAGGGUCUAGUAGAUGAGCCAGCUAUGAUGUAAGAGACAAAAGAGCUGUAAGUUUUAAGAGUUUAUUUUUUCAGAUAAGUUUGGUUUUACUUUUUUAUUUGGUGCUGAAAAAGAUGGUUAUAACUGGGGCCCCCUGCAGUGUUUUGUACCAGGUUGGCAGGAGGAGGAGGAACUGCCAGAGAGAACAUAAAAAAAAAACCACCAACGCAUGAAUCAUUGAAUUUUCUAAAAAACCAUGAGUGUCUGCUUCAAAAAUAUCAACUUGAGGGGUGUCUGAUAUCUUACAAGGAAGUUAAAAGUGUGUUUUGUUUUACAGACGGGGUGUGACAGCGGUCCUGCAGCUCCACUGGAAUAAUAUGUCACAACCCAUCAAGGUGGUACUUUGGCUUCACAUCCACAAUGGGAUAAGAUGGAGGCAUGGUGUGUGUAUAUAAAUAUUCAGUUAAUGGGAGUCAGCUUAUGACAACUUAGCUUAAAUAAUGUCUCUAAGUAGAUGUCCCCAGCAGCAGCUUUCCACAAACAACCUAUAUUUAGACGUUGUUUCUCAACUCCACUCGUCUCAAGCUGCUUGUUGGACUGCGACAUAUAAAGAUCUUGGCUGGAAGUCCUAUCUUCAAAUGCUGGCUACACCAGAAGCCCGAGGAAGUUGGCCGUUUCCCCCAGAGGCAUAUAAUGUUGUCAGAUGACUGUGGAUUAAGUUCUGAGAUAGCUAAUCAGCUAAUCAUUUCCACACAUUCAUAAUCUGUAUUCUACACCCUCAGGAACAGUCUGAGGUUCGGUAUGUUGCCCGAGGAUACGUUAACAUGUAGACAUGAAGAUCUGGGGAUCUAGCGCCGAUCCUCAGACUGAACGGCAGCCUCUCGAAGGAGGUGUUUGUCUGCUGUUUGUGAUGUGACUUGAGGCAGCGCCAUUCAGGGUUUGUGUCUACAAGUUUGAAAAUGAGCAGAGUUUACGGUGCUAAAGUUAAAAAGUGGUGAGUUCGGCACAUUUCUGUAGCUCUCCUCUCAUUUCUGCCCCGAGGCCAGCAGCUUGAGGCUACAUUUCCUCUGCUGGCAUAACAUACCUCCUUUUUUUCUUCCCAGCUGUUGAUAGCUGAGUUACUCUGCGGGUGACAUAGGUUUGACUCUGCGAAGGUAAAACAAUAUGUUGGGGAAAGAUAAUGCCUCUCUAAAAUAAAUGCUGUAUGGAUAUUCAUCCUACACAGUCCAGGAUUAUCAGGCUGUGCAGUGCUAAAUCAUUGUAAUACUCUGUGCAGGAACUCUUACAAACUUGUAGGAACUUGUUGGCAGUGAAAGCGCCUUCAUAUCCUGUUUGUAAAUCUGUGGCGCAGGAUGGUAAAUGAUUUAAGUAUUUUUCCUCCAGCUUCUUCCGUUCUGUUGUUGCAGCCACCGUUUCCACUGCCAGACUUGAGUCUGCCUUCAUAAAUGACCAAUGUGAUCUGCCAUUUACUAUUUCCAUUUCCACCCGCUCCUUUCUGCCUGUCUUUACAGGGAUUCAACAUAGUUUGCCUUUUGUGGAGCUGAAAUGUAGAUCCCAGCAUAUCAUUUGCAUAAAAAACUCACUUUCAGCUCCUUUUCAUACAGGCACUAUUGUUCACCCUGAAUCUCUGCAAAAACGCUCAAGUCAUUUCUCUGCAUGAAUGCCUUUUCUAAACCAACAGGCUUUAGAUGAAUUCUAAAUCACUCAAUGUGCUUCACCCUUCGCUUUCUCUUUCCAUCCAGAGUUGGCAUGAUAAAUCUGUAUGCACAUCUGCCAAACCAUCCCUGUCCUCCCUCUGUCUCUCGCACCUUCCCUGCUCUCUCCCCUCUGCACCCCCAUCCAUCUCUCAGUCCCAAACUCAUUUGAUUUGGGGUGUAAUUGCGGGUGCAGAUCUGUGGCCGGGUGUGGAGAGGAGCGAUUGCUGUGCUCCACUGAGUGCGGAGGAUGAGAUAGAAGAGAACAGAGCCCAGGAGACUCCACGCUGCUAAAGCUGGUUACCUACACUCAUAGCUAGCCUCCAAGCGCAGUCCUGUGCCAACAGGGGGCCGGGGUUAGCUUCGCCAGUUUGAGUCUGUCUGUCUUUCUUCAGUUUCUUUUGUUCUCUCUCCGUCACACUCCUACUUCUCAGUUUUUCUCCUGUUUUAGAUUUUCUGUCCUGUUUUUUUUAAUCUAUCUAUCUAUCUAUCUAUCUAUCUAUCUAUCUAUCUAUCUAUCUAUCUAUCUAUCUAUCUAUCUAUCUAUCUAUCUAUCUAUCUAUCUAUCUAUCUAUCUAUCUAUCUAUCAUUGAUUGGUGUUGAGUCUCCUCAUGUUCAGGUUACUUAGUUUGUACCUGUAUGUAGAUUUGUAUUUGUUGCAAGAUGAGAAAAUUUAGCCUGACAUCCAGUUAAAACCUAAACAUAACAUAAAACUACACACAACAAUCAGAAAAAAACUAUAAUAAGAGAUCUAUUUUUGCUAACCUGUGGACAUCUACAUAAAAGAAAUCUCAGUAAAGUUCUAUAAAAUGAGAUUCACAUGAGUGACUUGUUCUGAAACAUGUCUGCAACCUGAACUCCUGUUGUGCGGUUCUAUCUGGAUAAUACUUACCUGGCAGCUCUGUCAGAGUCCCCAGAAAAGCUGGAUGUGUUCCCUCAUCCUGUGGGUCCCUCUGGAUUGCUCCCGCAGAUGUUCUGCAGCUAUAGAUCUGUGACAAAGUUAAUGUUAAAUUGUAAAACUUGUUGAUUCUGUCUCCUUCAAUAGUUGUUGACAUAAAUCAAACUAAGACUGGUCUCUUAUCAUGAUGGUCCUGUUGUUGUUUAUCUCUGUUCAUCUCUCUUUUUCUACAUCUCUAUUUCCUCUCUAAACCCAAUGCAGAAAUGACAUAUGACUGUCUGACACAAGUCUGGUUCUGCUUAAAGGAAGUUCUUCCUCUCCACUGUAACUUGAUAAAUGCUGCAAAGAGCUUCACUCAUGUGGAUGAAGAUGGGAUAGGAGUGGGUCUUAUCUUACAUGAUGGAGCCUAGUCUUUUCCCAUCUUAACACUGGGUCUUUGUAAAUACCUUGAAGAGUUGCAAAUUGGCACUAAACAAAGAUUGAUUGGUUGAUUAUCAUCAACGUCAUUGUCAUUUUCAAUUUCCUUGAGUGAUCCUUCCCAAAAGGAUCAAUAAAGUCAAUCUAAUCUAUUCUAAUUUAAUCCACACCAUAAUCAGAAAGGAGGUGUUCAUGAUGGAUCUGGGUCUUCAGCUUUUGCUUCAAGACUGAAAGGGAUUAAGCAGAUUGGAUGGAGCUUUGUCACUUCAGAGUCGAGUUAGGUCGGAGAUAUAUUUUCUUUGUAGUCUUGUGUUUACUUAUGCGUCUGUCUGCGUCAUGUGCAUAAAUAUAAAUAACUUGACUGCCCACGUCAUUGGAGGAUACCUCCAGCGGGUGCGGCAUAAACCUUGGGCUGUAUACAGCUACUGGAUGUGUGGGAUGUUAACAAGGCCGCGGCACUACUUGAGGAGGUUUCUUUACUGCUAAUGCUGAGAUCAAGGCAGAGAAAGUGACAGCAGCUGGGAUGUAGGUCGUUUAUAAGGCCACUUAAUAAGCCUGGAGGGCCAAUCGCGAGUAUGUGUCACUGGUUGGUAAUCCCUGCUGAUGUUAACCCUGUUAGAUCCACUCUACCUCGAUACUGCCCCUGCUGGAUAUGAAAAUACCGCACCUUUUGGCUUCAUUUUUGAGAACGCAGACACACCAAACCAACACUGGGGCUACGUGGCGGUUACUGGGAGAACCAGUCGCCUAUCACUGGCAGAGCACAGUAGGUGUGAGGAGGAUUAUACCUGCAUGAAGGAUUCCAGGUUGGCAGAAGCUGUUUUCAUACUUACAUUGUAAACAAGCUGCAAGGUUUUGAAUUUGAAGCAAGUGGCAACUGGGAGUCAGUGGAGAGAAAUAAUGAUGCUUAGGAUUGGUUCAAAAUGAGUCGUGCUGCUGUUUUCUGGAUCAUCUGCAGGUUUGAAUGCAGACGUUUUGCGAUGCUGCAAAAACCUGCACCUGCGAUGCAUGUGUGACAGGGGUCUGUCCGUCUGAUCCGUCUAAAUCCAACAUUUUCUUCAGUGUCUCUCUUCCAGAAUCUUUCCACAAGCUUGCCUUUUCAAUUCAAUGUGGACUUAGUUCCUGCGGAUUUAUCCCUGUUCAGGCUGGUGCAACCCAUUACCACGCCAGGUGCCUUCACAUUUUCGAUUUCACAUUCACUUGGCUAGAAAAGUAAACCCAAAUAUGUGUGAAUGCACCUAACUGAAGAGAAGUGGGCUGAUUUUUUUUUUUUCCUACAAAGGUGGAGUCGUCUUGUGUAGCCAAUCAGGGAAGCAGCCGACCUCGGGCGCAGACACAGCUCGCAGUUUAACUCGAAAACAGCUGAUGUUUCUUCUCCAUGCUUCUUAAAGGUGGGGUAGGCAGGAUUCUGUUGAAGAAGCAUUUUUUUUUUGUGGUGUAUAUACAAAAAAGUUUUAAUAUUAGUCAAUAGCUAUGAGUUAUUGAUGACAUUUGGGAAUGAAACGAUAUCGCUGUGUUCUCUUAUGUCUUUGUAGUCAACAUUUUAAUUUUGUUGAGCGGCCCGCUCUUUCUGACUGUAAACAAAGCCAUUCUCCACCUCCCCCAACCUGAUUGGUUGUGAGGUGGAUGCUGCUCCCUCAUGUUGUGAGGCACGCUCCAUGCCCUCGAUUAAAGUUCACGAGCCCAAACAAAGUUAGCGUGCUACAAUAUCAGACAGUAGAAACCAACCAGAAAGUACAGAAAACAAGCAAGAAAAUGAACUAAAUACCGGAGACUCUGGCAGAAUAACUUAAAAAGGAAGUGGACUGGAUAAGAGCUAAAAAGCCCUGUUACCUUACCUUUCUGCUGGACAGGUAAACGGCUUUAACAAAGUAAGCCAAGUGUCUGUAACAGAAGUGUUUCUUGUCAAACGGGACCUGCUGCAUGUUGUAGCGCCACGAAACUGUUGACCUUGGGUCCUGAAGUCUGUCACUUUAUCCUAGUUGUAGAAGUCCUGCAAACAUUGUGUUUGCUGGUAGUCUGUUGGCAUCUACAGUAGAACCGAUGCUUUUGCUUUCGGCAUUAUAUCUGAAUUUAAUUGGAACGAUACGAGCGAGCAUGAGCGUCUGUUUGAGGGCGGGGCUUGCUGGAGCAGAGAGGGAGGGGAGAGGAGGAGCUGAGGGGAAAACUGGUCGGGAGGAGUGGCGUUUACAUUCAAGAUUUCUCCCAAAAACUGGCACUUCCUCAGAUCCUGCCUACCCCACCUUUAAGACUCGCUGUUUACCCUUAUUGUGCAAAAUAUUGUCCUGUGAUAUUCUGUUCUCUAAACUACAACAAUCUCUUGUGCAAACUGGUAAUCAAUUCCCUCAAACUGCGUAAUUAUACCAACAGAGGACAACUCAAACCCAUCAGGCCGCUGUGGUUCCAUCUUUAUGUAUUAAACAGAGGUAAAGCCUGUAAUUACAGUCAAGACACAUAGAGGAUAGAGUGAAGUGUCUAUGGAUACAGGAAAAUAUUCAGCUUGCUCCCCUGUGAGAUAAGAACCCUGCAAUUAAGUCUCAACAUGCUACUGUACAUAGCAAUCAGAUUCACCAGGUUAAAACGCCUAAUUGCAUGGCAUUGACAGGCAAAGCUCUCCCUGAAUGAGCUCCCAUAAGAAAGGACUUUGUGAUAAAUAUUCUAACUGAGUUUAUCGUGAAAGGUGAAUACACAGACUCGGCUACCCGCUCUCUGUCGCGGCCUUGAGUUUCACGCAGGAGGGAGAGGAUUCAGAGAGCGGGAGUGUUUUUGCUCCACAGGACUCUCCAGGCCUUCACAGGAAAUGAUUUAUUCAGGAAGUAAGUGUAGCAGCGGGCCAUGGGGCCUCCCCUGUCAUCAUUUAGGUGCAUGCGCCCGCUUCAUUUAUCCUCCCCUUUUAUUGAUUAAUUCAUGGCCCUGAUUAAAAUUUCACAAGUUGCCAAUUGUCCUUCACAACGUCUGACUCCCCUGUCGAUCUGGAGCCGGUGGGUAUGACUGCCCUCCUGAUAAUGGGAGAAAAGGUGGCUGCAGAGCGUUUCCUCCCUCAUCACAGACCAGGCUGGACCAAGAGAGACUUCUUCUCUCUGAAUAUUUUACAUAUUGCAGCCCAUUAUAAUCCGUCUUUUUUAUGGUUACCCAGCGAGACAUUCCUUAAAUAUUGAUGUUAUGGUAAUUUAUCAAUAAUUGCGGACUGCUGGGAUAACAAGCCACAUUUGGGCAAAGGAGGAUAUCAAUUAAGCAGUCAGUUAGCUCUCUCUUACAGUGAGCAGUCGCUCUGCAUUAAUCUAAGAUGUUUCGCUGUUGUGGGCGUCACAGGUUUUCUCAAGAGCUUUGAAAUCUUCGGCCCUGAGAGAAGCUCCAAGGUGCAGCAAAGCAUGCUUGUGAUCUGAAGAAUGACAGUAAUUCAAAUUAAGUUACUGAGAUACCAUAUGUACAUGUAACCGCCAUUAGAGGCAUGGUUGACGAUCUGAGAAGCAGUUGAAAAAAACUGAGCCGUUGAGGCAGAUUUGAAAAGAGCGUCCCACCCCCUGCACUCAAACCUCUCCCCUCUGUGCUCCACGAUAACUCCCCCCGAACCUGUAUUGCCUUACCCAUGACACACCCCCUCUGGCAGAGCAAGGAGCCGGCCAACAGAAGAUCCUACGCUAGCUUCAAAUAGGAUUCACCAUGUCGGAUUGCUGGUGACUAGCGGCAGUAAACGCCAGAUCUGCUAGCUAGCAUCAUAUGCAGCUGCCUGGACAGCUACAGUGUUAACAUUGCAGAGACUAAUAACAGUUUUUUUUUAUGUAACAUGUGCCACGAUAAAAGGAAAAAUUACCUGUUCAACAAAAACUCUGCUGUCCCGGCGUCUGUUUUCAGGCCCAAAUCCUGGCAGAGCUUUCUCCACCACUUGAAGGAUGACCUGACUUUUAUCCGAGUUAGAUUCCUCGCUUAGUCACAUUCCCUUUUUGUCUCCCCCCUUUCUUCUGUCGGCUUGUGUUUUCUCGCACAUUUUUUUUGUGUCUUUCUUCGUCACAGCUCCUGUAGCUAACGUAGUUAGCUAAAAGUAGCGUAGUAGCUGCUAUGCUACUUAUAGUCGCUCAGAACUCUGAGGAGGGCUGGGUGAGUGGGAGGGGACGAGUCGCAACUAUGGGAGAGGGGUGUGUUGAAUACAGCGAGGUGAUUGGAUGGAGUGGCGGAGCAGGAGAUUGACCAAUAGGAGUUGUCUGGGACGGGUGGCUCCCAUUGGUCAAUGUUUUUGCAGCCCUGCACAUGUUAGGGUGAACAGAUUUUUCCAUUCUUUUUUCUCUUCACUUUGUGAUGACUGCACUAUAGGACCAUGAUCGCCAAAUAAAUGAGGUUCAUAAUAAUUACCAAUCUCUCCAAUCGUCAACCAUGCCUUUAACAUGAAGGUCAAUAGUUAUGUCACUCAGAUUUGUCACUCGUGUUUACACGAGACUUUUACUUUGUUUCUUGCUACUUCUGUCAAGAGGUAGAAAUAAAAGUCGGGAGAUAAAUCAAAAAAGCCGAAAGCUUCACAUUUUUACUUUGCAAAGCCUACAGUUCAAGCUAACGUUUAUAUAAGCAAAAGUUGUCUUAAACUUUAUAUUCAGUUAAUCACCUAUUUGCAUGAAAUGAGCGGGAAAACUUUUUAUUCCUGCAAAGCUCACACUCCACACUGCAGAGACGUAGUCAGAACCAAACAUGCCAGCUAUACAACAUAAAACCCUUUUCUAUAACCAGACAUACCUGUUAGGUGCUUUAAAAUCACAGAAGCACGAGUACAGUUAGCUAUUUUCAUGGCUAGGUUGUAAUUAUCAUCAAGCAUGUUUUGGUCACCUUCCUGAGACCUAUUUUUACUUCAGGACUGUGAUGACUUAUAGGCUCCAGUGGUUUCUGCCUGUGUUUCUGAUAUGAAUACGUCACUUUGAGAUCAUUGAUUGGUGGUAUAGACUCAGAAAGUUGAGCCUUUUUUUUUAAAUAAUUACUGUAAUUUGCUGUAAUUCUGACUUACAGUUUUACGUCAUUGUGGGGAAAAAAGUACCGCCUGGUAGAAACCAGACAUUAUCCACACGCAUAAUCACUCAAGUAUUAAACGUUACCACACCUCCACCUUGGAAAAAGAGUAGGUCUCCUCCGCACAUGUAGCAGGUAACAGCUGCAGUGAUUUUUUUUUUCAUUUGACAAGCAGGAAACCCGAGCAGAAUCCGACUCAUGCUGACCGCUCUAGAGUAAGAGAAAGAUGUAGAAAGAGAGACAGAAAAACAGAGCAACAGCGGCAACUAAUAAAACCCCAUUAUAACUGCAGUGCUAAUAAUAAUAAUGGUGAAAGAGUGUCAUCAGCAGAAACAGCAAAACAAUAAUUAACUGAUUGUUUAACAACCUUAAUGAUGGUAAUACUGGGAGGACUAACAAUGUUGAUUAAAGCAGCUGGAGUUGAACAGCUCUAAGAUUCGCAUUAAGAAGAACAAUAAUGAUGGUAAUGAUGGAAAGACUGCGACUUGUUGUUGUGGUAGUUGAAGUUGGACGAGGCAGCAAAGAUCCAGAGGAACCAAACGAGACAGGAAAGCUCACAACCUAUUGUGAUCUGAAGUUUGAUGUGAUGGAUCGGAGAAAGACAGCAGGAGAGCCGGAGAGGAGCUUGGAGUCCCAGAGACAGCAUCUACGCUGACUUUAACCUUGCCCUGGUUGAGGGCUUUAAACCUGCUUUUAAAGAUGACUGAUUGUGUUGUUUUACUUCAGUGUUUUCACAAAUAUCAUGAGAGUAAUAACAAUGAUAUUUUCUCUCUGUUUAUACUAUGGACAACUUGGUUCCGCCUUCCGCCUGUAAAUGGAUUUGAAGCCAAAAAGCUCUCGUGAUUUUUCUUCAUUUCCUGAAACCAGCAUUGCACAGUAGCGUUGUAUGCAUUCGGUUCAAACAGCGUAUCCCCUGGGUGAAUUAUGCUAUCCCUGAACGCUGUAUCAAGUGUCAAUCAUAGCAAACAUGAACCCCCUAAUAAUGUUUAAAAACUGAGCUUCACGGAAAAAAGAGGACUUGAGCACAAACCAGUCUUACAAUAACUACAUGUCAACAUCGCAAGCAGGGGGGAGAAAAAUUUAUAAUUAAAAUUUAUGACCUAUAUUCCAGCCCGCCAACAGAGGGUGCUGUUCUCAGAGUGGCUUCACCCAGUGAGGAGGCAGACGCUGUCCAUUCUAUAUACAGUCUAUGGUAAGUAACAAAAUUUAGCAACAAGACACAACUGGAAAACUGGAGAGUAAAACAUCCCAUAUCCAAUACUAUUUUAAAACUUCCAAUUUAUGAGAACCGGAGGUAUCUCUGACAGAAUAUAAUUUAAAGGUAUGCAAAUAGCAAGCCC